UAGAGAAAUAUAUAUGGUACAGCCUAUUUGAAAUAGGAUACAACCUACACUAACGGGUUAUUUUAAACUUACUGUACAACACAGAGGGCCUAAAAGCAGCCACCUUUUAAAUAGCGUCAAAGCUUAAUUGGUACUUAAAGCUUAUUCCUCUAUCUUCUUUAAACCCUUUAUCACUACUGAGUAAUUGUAUAAUACUAUAGAAAAUUUUAUGUCAAAACUAGUAUCAAGAAGAAGACCUUCUCUUUAAUGCGCCUAUAAAUCAGAAAGGACACACCACUGAUAAUUAACAUCUCUGAAUACACAGUAGUAACCUAACAAGAAAACUCUACUAAUUACUAUGUUAACCUAACACAAGAGCAUUACAAGAAAGAUUUAUAGAGAAAGAACGAACUCGGCAAAUGUUAACCUCGCCUGUUUACCAAAAACAUCGGCUUUUUGAUCAUAUAAUAGGACCAGACUGCCCAGUGACUCUGAUUAACGGCCCGCGGAUC
Molecule: ribosomal RNA, 491 nt
Filed under: Odontophrynus americanus
Lineage: Eukaryota; Metazoa; Chordata; Amphibia; Anura; Alsodidae
Description: partial 16S ribosomal RNA
Source: RNAcentral